RNAcentral lists this ribosomal RNA (364 nucleotides) under uncultured bacterium. Its description in RNAcentral is "bacterial SSU rRNA". It matches the Rfam family "Bacterial small subunit ribosomal RNA", at positions 29 to 418 of the family's 1533-position model. The record is from RNAcentral.
AGCGAACGCUGGCGGCAGGCUUAACACAUGCAAGUCGAGCGGACGUAGCAAUACGUCAGCGGCAGACGGGUGAGUAACGCGUGGGAACGUACCUUUUGGUUCGGAACAACCCAGGGAAACUUGGGCUAAUACCGGAUAAGCCCUUACGGGGAAAGAUUUAUCGCCGAAAGAUCGGCCCGCGUCUGAUUAGCUAGUUGGUGAGGUAACGGCUCACCAAGGCGACGAUCAGUAGCUGGUCUGAGAGGAUGAUCAGCCACAUUGGGACUGAGACACGGCCCAAACUCCUACGGGAGGCAGCAGUGGGGAAUAUUGGACAAUGGGCGCAAGCCUGAUCCAGCCAUGCCGCGUGAGUGAUGAAGGCCUU